RNAcentral lists this non-coding RNA (27 nucleotides) under Brugia malayi. The record is from RNAcentral. Lineage: Eukaryota; Metazoa; Nematoda; Chromadorea; Rhabditida; Onchocercidae.
UCCAAAUAAUAUGACGAAUGGCGCUCU